GGCCUGAUGGUCUAGUAGUAUGAUUCCUUGUUAGGGUUUCACGUGAUUAACGUCACGUGACCGAUCGAGGAGGUCCCGGGUUCAAUUCCCGGUUAGGCCC
This is a non-coding RNA of Schizopora paradoxa, 100 nucleotides long. The record is from the annotation of a GenBank genome assembly. Lineage: Eukaryota; Fungi; Basidiomycota; Agaricomycetes; Hymenochaetales; Schizoporaceae.